GGAGGAGGAGGAGGGUUUCAGGGACCUGGUUCUUCUCGUGCCUCCUCCUCCUCCCUUCUUCUAAACUUCAGCCCCUCUCUCUAGAGCUCAGCAGGAGCCCUGUCCAACCACAAGCCUGCUUUCUCUUUCUUCCUCUCCACACCCACUCCCACCACUGCCCACUGAAUCAAUGUGGCUGGAACUGCUGGCACUCUUACCUCCUCACCGACUAGCUAAGUACUGCAAUUUGAGUGGGUGAGCAGGAGAAAGGGGAGGAAGUCUGGGGAGGUGGUGGGCCUAGUGAGGUGAGGAGAGUAGGACAGGCUGUAGUGAGUGAGCAGGUAGCCAACCUGUGCAGGCACAUUCACAGCCCUAAUCUACCCUUCUAAUCCACCUCCUCCCCUGGCCUUAUGAGAGCACCGGCCCUGCUACUGUGACAACAAAAGUCUCAACAUAUCUUUUUUGGGGGGAAAUAGAAAUAGUGCGAUGGGAUGAGCUAGAACCAUUCUCUCUGAUGUGUUAGCUAUUUUCUUUCCAUUCAUAUUUUCAAAGGGUUAGCAUUCAAAAAUAGUAUCCCCCACCCUCUGCCAUCUUCAGUCUGACUUUGAGCACUCAGUUCUAGGGAUGUCCGAAAUGUUUCGGGUACAGAACAAUCUGUACCCCAAACAGUCCAUUUAGGGUGUUUAGUAGCCAAAACGAAACACCCAAUAGCCCAGCCGAAAUGUUUUGGAGCCAAAACGAAUCGUCCUUGUUUCGGCUCCAAAAGAUUUGUAGUUUCGGCCCCUCCAUUUUGUGAUUGGCUCAGUCUCUCUCUAGUAGCUUCGUUCCUUGUUCCUCCUCUUCUGACGUCUCUUUGAAUUUCCCGCCCGUCAGGGUAGAAGCAGGGCCGGAUGCAGCAUGGACAGGAGUUUCUUUCUGGAGUGGCAGGGAGCUUGCUGGGCUCCUGGGCUGGCCGUCUCACCGAUGCUGCUUCGCCAGAGUUGGAAUGCGGACACAGUCACAGCCACGGCCGUGGCCACAAAAGGGGAUGCAGCGGAGGAGGCAGACGGCCGGCUGAGGAUCUGCUCCUGAAGAGAAAGCAAAAACUAGCACUUCUUUGAAAUUCCUUGGCUAUUUCUACAACAUUUUUCAGCUGCCGAUUUGGGAUGAAGUUUGUCUUCUGAACUCUUUUUCUACACUGAGGGCAGGAAACCUCUGUGCCCGUCUCCCUCCAGCACUGCGUCAGGCACGCUUGACAGAAAUUGUGCCCACACUCUAUAAUGGUCACCGGGUCCUUGAAAUAGUCCAGACAGAUGGAGCAAGUAGCUUCCUCACAGAGAUCCUUGACAGGACUCUUCGCUGCCAUGACUGACUUAUACUGAAAACAGCUAAAGCUUUAUUUGAAUUUUCUCCUCAGUGGGUGGGUGAUCUCCUUCCUGAAAAUGAGAUAACUCGGGAUCUCAUGUGAAAUGCUGAUAUGAAAUCGACCAACCGCAUGUGAAAGAAAAACCUGUUGGUGAGAUAGUACAGCCUCCUGAUAGGCAAAAUCCAUUUGUUAAGACAAAGGGCACAAUGACUGCCUAAUUAGAAAAAGAUUUUUUAUGACAGUUCAAUAGAAGGAAGUUUUUAUCAAUGCACUUUAGCCUCAAAUUCCUUUGGAAGCCAAUGAGUGCUUCGGGAUAUAUCAGGAUAUAUCUCAGUGAGUUGCUUGCUCCUCUCUGUCCUCCCCAGCCUGGGCUGACUUUUUCACUUUUCAGUGAUUUUUAGUUCUUAGCUUAGCAAGAAAUGCUCUCUGAUGACCCUGGCUGCAGUAGUAGAUUGUGUUACAGCACACAACAGCCCAGCCUUCCACGCAGAAGGAAGCACUUUGUAAUGUAAUAAAUGUAAGUGUCUGACUGUGUCAGCUCAGCUGCUAAUUUGCCUGAGGCAUUUAUCAGCAGCUUAAAUUAUGAUCCUCCAGCAGGGAAGGAACAGGCAGUCAAUUAUUUAUUUCCUGAUUGUGUCCCGGAGUUGGAGAACCUGUUUUAAGUUCAGCAGCAGUUUUGUUAGCUGAGACCACUGCUAGUGCAGGCUGCUGCAUGGCUCAGGCUCCUGGGAGUGUGCCGAGUGCAGACUUCACCAUGAAUGAUGCAGGGAGCAAAGCAAGGGGUCGUGUGCCUUCACUCAGGGGUGUAGCAAGGUUGGAGUGGGCCCAGAGACAAGAUUUUAAAAUGCCCCCCCGCCACUGAAGCUCAGCUCAUGAAGUAAGGAAAUCUUAAAUGAGACUGAAUAGUGGUAACAAAAAGCAUAGUAAAAUUUAUUAUAUAGAUAUAGAUAUAUAACCUAUGUGCCACAAUAGAACAUCAUCCUAAAUUAUUUUUAAAAGGGUUUUGUAAAUUGUGGACGAUGCAAGUCGUUUAAUGGUACUAGAGAAAGACAUGCUGUUCUGGUAGCUCCAGGUCUUAACACCCACAUCAAUUUCGGAGGAUGAAUACAACAAGGAAGCCCGGGCAGGUGCGUGGCUGGGGGAGUCAGUCAUGUGACUUGCCUCUGGGGGGGGGGCAAGACAACUGUCUCCCCAUGUCCUAUUAUAGUUAUGCCCCUGCCUUCACUGCAGUGCCAGCGCUAUAGACUCUGGAGCAAUGUUGUCCCAAAAAUGGAAUUCGUGUCUGUCAUGCAAGUCAGUGAACACACCAAGGGUGGAAAUCUUUCUAAGUUUAUUCUGCGCAGAAUAAAGGUGCUGAGAAUCGCUCCCAAAGCAAGCACCCACAGCAAACUUACCAUCAGGCUUAUAUAGAAAAACCUACAAAGUUUUGGUCACACCAGCCAUCCGCCAGCUCCCCCUCCCAUCUCUGCUAGUAAGCAUACACCAUCCCUCUGGGCUUUGAGUGUAACUUGUUGUGUAUUCUGUUAUCUCCCGCAGUUACAGAACAAAGAGCCAUUCUUCCUUCUUUCUUAUGGGAAACAGAAGUGAUUCACACACUGGUUGAUCUGGUUGCAAGCAGGAAGUAGGCAGCCGACUGCCAAGUCCGCACUUUAGCUUAGUGACCUUACAUACGGUGGAGGGGGUAGUGGUGGUAAUGGCUAUACCCUGGCCCAUCCUCAACAACAAGGCAUGGUUAGAAUAUCACUAGGGAUGGGCCCGGACUGGUCCGGAGGCCAUUAAAAAAGCCUUCAGACCGGUCCGGAGCUGGGUGGUUCGGUCCGG
Long non-coding RNA from Hemicordylus capensis (graceful crag lizard), 3145 nucleotides. RefSeq lists it as uncharacterized. NCBI's taxonomy places the organism in Eukaryota, Metazoa, Chordata, Lepidosauria, Squamata, Cordylidae. The transcript has 3 exons. The record is from RefSeq and is a predicted model, not a curated record.